This is a long non-coding RNA of Bombus pascuorum, 588 nucleotides long. RefSeq lists it as uncharacterized. NCBI's taxonomy places the organism in Eukaryota, Metazoa, Arthropoda, Insecta, Hymenoptera, Apidae. The record is from RefSeq and is a predicted model, not a curated record. The transcript is spliced from 2 exons.
CCACAAUUUUUUAAAUUAUAAGUUUCAAUAAUGAUGUAAUACGUAUCUGAUAUAGAGUAUUAUCGAAUUGUACAAUUCUACUAUAAUACACAUUAUAGUAUUUUAUUUUUUGCCUAAGUAUGUCAUUCGAAUAAAUUUUGCAAAGACUGUAAUAAAUAAUUAUGAGACUAUAUUUGAUGAAUAAGAUAAAGAUGAACAUUCAGAUACGACUCAAAAUUUCUUGGAUAUUGUCUCAAAAUGAAAAAAAGAAACUUAUUUUGUUAAUGAAUUUUGAAUCAGCAAUUUGUUCUUAAUUCAUUUUAGUAUCCAACAGUAUUUAACUAAAAUUAUUUAAUAGAAAUGUAUGAAAAGAUACGUUAUGAAUUUUUCGAACAACUCAAUAUAGCAUAUUGGAUAAUAUUGAUGAUAUAAUGCAUCUGGACAUGUGGCAAAUAAUUCAAGUAGAAGUUGUAAGCGAUCUAUCGUACGUUGGAUCUUUUUGGGCCUGUUAGGUCCAUGAGGACCGAAGAUUUUAAUGGAACUUGGUCGUUUCCUUGGUGCUUCUACUUUUGGACCUGAUCGGCCAGAUUCGACGGACGAAGAAUGAAA